Molecule: long non-coding RNA, 610 nt
Organism: Quercus robur (English oak)
Lineage: Eukaryota; Viridiplantae; Streptophyta; Magnoliopsida; Fagales; Fagaceae
Exons: 2
Source: RefSeq, a predicted model, not a curated record
AGAAUCAUUAACAGCAGCAUAGGCUUUGGCCAGCUGCCACACCGAACCUUCAACACCUUCUUCUGCUGGAGUGAAAACUUUACUGACAGCACCAUGGCGUUCCCCUUGUGGAUGCGGCAAGCUUAACUCAAUUGCUAAUGGCUUCAGUGUCCCAUUAUCUUGCAGUAAAAGGAGCGUUCUGGUGGCAUAAGUCUUUGUGGUGGUUGAGUUUAUUCUCAUCAGGGUAAACCCAAGAAUUGCAAACGAAAUGCACACGACCAUGCCCAGGAACAUCUUCUAAGGUGACUGUCCUAAGGUAAAACUGGCUGUGAUGGUGGUUUCUUACAAUGAUGGCCCCAGGAACACCCAUGGACUCAUCCCAGUCAAAUGAAAUGGUGAAUACAGUUUCAACUGCUGUUAAUGGAGUGAUUGUUGUAACCCAUUUCUCCAAAUGCGCCACCUUUCCAAGCUUCCCUUGCAAUACAUUUGCUAAACACACAUGUAACAAGAUUUUUAGUUUCUUAGCACUAUUAAUCUUCACAGCUGUUUUAUCAUUGAAUUUUACUUAUCAAGAUCAUCAAAGACAAUGCUAGGAAGUUGUUCAAAAAGCUACUUGAUUGAAAUUUAACUA